GAUGAACGCUGGCGGCGUGCUUAACACAUGCGAGUCGAACGGAAAGGCCCUGCUCUUGUGCGGUUCUCGUGUGGCGCACGGGUGAGUGACACGCGAGUAACCUGUCCUUGUCUUUGGGAUAACUUUACGAAACUGGGGCUCAUACAGGAUAGGAUCUCUUGCAGCAUGGUGGGGGUUGGUAAGAUUCGGCGGUUGGGGAUGGACUCGCGGCUUAUCCGCUUGUUUGUGAGGUAGUUGCUUUCCAGGGCUUUGACGGGUAGCCGGCAUGAGAGGGGUGCCGGCCACCUUGGUACUGCGAGACGCCGCAGAAUCGUACGGGCGGCAGCAGUGGGGAAUAUUGCACAGUGGGCGGAAGCCUGAGGUGACAGCGCCGCGUGCGGAAAGACGGCCUUCGGGUUAUAAACCACUUUGGCAUGUGACGUAGCGGGAGUGACGGUAAUGGGUAAAGAAGCACCGGCUAACUACGUG
This 468-nucleotide ribosomal RNA is filed under the name uncultured bacterium. RNAcentral describes it as "partial 16S ribosomal RNA". It matches the Rfam family "Bacterial small subunit ribosomal RNA", at positions 28 to 507 of the family's 1533-position model. The record is from RNAcentral.